This 469-nucleotide ribosomal RNA is filed under the name uncultured bacterium. RNAcentral's name for it is "partial 16S ribosomal RNA". It matches the Rfam family "Bacterial small subunit ribosomal RNA", at positions 27 to 507 of the family's 1533-position model. The record is from RNAcentral.
GGACGAACGCUGGCGGCGUGCUUAACACAUGCAAGUCGAACGGAAAGGCCCUGCUUUUGUGGGGUGCUCGAGUGGCGACCGGGUGAGUAACACGUGAGUAACCUGCCCUUGACUUUGGGAUAACUUCAGGAAACUGGGGCUAAUACCGGAUAGGGGCUCCUGCUGCAUGGUGGGGGUUGGAAAGUUUCGGCGGUUGGGGAUGGACUCGCGGCUUAUCAGCUUGUUGGUGGGGUAGUGGCUUACCAAGGCUUUGACGGGUAGCCGGCCUGAGAGGGUGACCGGCCACAUUGGGACUGAGAUACGGCCCAGACUCCUACGGGAGGCAGCAGUGGGGAAUAUUGCACAAUGGGCGGAAGCCUGAUGCAGCAACGCCGCGUGCGGGAUGACGGCCUUCGGGUUGUAAACCGCUUUCGCCUGUGACGAAGCGUGAGUGACGGUAAUGGGUAAAGAAGCACCGGCUAACUACGUG